UUUGAAGUCUUUUCAGUAUGAAACAAACACAAAGGGUAAAACAUUUCGAUGGAUAGGAGCACUUUUAAUUCUUGCUUCAGAUGUGUGGAGUUUCACUGUUAUUUAAUAAAUGGGUUUUAUCGUCACAGUUAAUUCGUUCCUUGUUUAUAUUCAAUUUCAACUUAGUUUUGUUUCCUUUGUAUAUUUUACUUGCCGUGCAAUUUGAUGGGAUGCCAUGCCUUGUUAGUUGCAUGUGGUAUGCCUACAAAAGUAGCAGUGUGUUUUGAGAACUGGAUUGAACCUGGGUAGUCUGUUAAUGUUGAUGUUGUAAUUUACCAAGGAGAAACUAGUAUUUGGUAUGUGUAUAGUUAAUGCAUGUGCAUUGGAUCUUUAGGAUCUUAGAAGGCAGUUCUUAAACUCGCCCAAACUAAAGAAGUUAAAUAGCUUAAGUCAUUUGGCCUGUCAUGUAGCUAGAAGGGAAAGGAGAUGCAAUUUCGUAAAUAUUAUCGUUUACAUAACACAUUUUGACACUGAUUCUGAUCGCUAAUAAUUUAUGGACUGGAAUGUUUCCAAUUUUUUCUGAAUGCAUUGCCGAUGUUGAUUAUGAAUGAAAAUUUCAUAGGUUAAUAGUUGUGCUUUAAUGGUUUUUCUUUGAGGUAGAACUAAUGUAAGAACAAUCUGCAUAUAUUCACCUUUGUUAGCAACUGUUGUCAAUUGUGGCAGUCUGGGAUUGAAUAGUUCGCUAUCCUUUCAUA
This is a non-coding RNA of Prunus avium (sweet cherry), 734 nucleotides long. NCBI's taxonomy places the organism in Eukaryota, Viridiplantae, Streptophyta, Magnoliopsida, Rosales, Rosaceae. The record is from RefSeq and is a predicted model, not a curated record.